GUCUGUAUGAAGUUAUAUAGAGUCUGGCCUGCCCGUUGAAGUAAUUUGAAAGGCCGCGGUAUAUUAACUGUGCAAAGGUAGCAUAAUCAUUAGCUUUUUAAUUGAAGGCUUGUAUGAAGGGUCUGACAAAGAAAAAGCUGUCUUUAAAAUUAUUUUUGAAUUUAACUUUUAAGUGAAAAGGCUUAAAUAAAUUUAAGGGACGAUAAGACCCUAUAAAUCUUUAUAUUAAAUUAUUAUUCUGAAUUUUAAUAUUUGUUUAGAUUAUUAGUUAUAAUAAUAAAUAUUUUGUUGGGGUGACGAGAAUAUAAAAUUAACUGUUCUUAAAAUAAACAAAGUUAUUUGUUGAAAAAUUUAUAGAUCCUUUUUAAAGAUUAAAAGUUUAAGUUACUUUAGGGAUAACAGCGUUAUUUUUUUUGAGAGUUCUUAUCGAAAAAAAAGUUUGCGACCUCGAUGUUGAAUUAAAAUUUCUCUACGGUGUAGAAGUUGUGGAAGAGAGUCUGUUCGACUUUUGAAAUUUU
Molecule: ribosomal RNA, 518 nt
Filed under: Paramunida stichas
Lineage: Eukaryota; Metazoa; Arthropoda; Malacostraca; Decapoda; Munididae
Description: partial 16S ribosomal RNA
Rfam family: Bacterial large subunit ribosomal RNA
Source: RNAcentral